UACGGAGGAUGCGAGCGUUAUCCGGAUUUAUUGGGUUUAAAGGGUGCGUAGGCGGAUCGUUAAGUCAGUGGUCAAAUUGAGGGGCUCAACCCCUUCCCGCCAUUGAAACUGGCGUUCUUGAGAUGUCGAGAGGUAUGCGGAAUGCGCAGUGUAGCGGUGAAAUGCUUAGAUAUUGCGCAGAACUCCGAUUGCGAAGGCAGCAUACCGGCGGCGAUCUGACGCUGAGGCACGAAAGCGUGGGUAUCGAACAGG
This 252-nucleotide ribosomal RNA is filed under the name uncultured Bacteroidales bacterium. Its description in RNAcentral is "partial 16S ribosomal RNA". It matches the Rfam family "Bacterial small subunit ribosomal RNA", at positions 524 to 776 of the family's 1533-position model. The record is from RNAcentral. Lineage: Bacteria; Pseudomonadati; Bacteroidota; Bacteroidia; Bacteroidales.